This 4504-nucleotide long non-coding RNA is filed under the name Mus musculus (house mouse). RNAcentral describes it as "long non-coding RNA chrX:66656889-66661393". The record is from RNAcentral. Lineage: Eukaryota; Metazoa; Chordata; Mammalia; Rodentia; Muridae.
UUUUUUUUUUUUUUUUUUUUUUUGUAAAUAAUGGUCUAUGGUAUUGCCAUCUUCAGUUACCGAGUAUAGGCCUGGGCAUCGCUACUUUGUGUGAAAGUGCCUUUGCACUUAAAGACGUAACUUAAAUGUUGCUUUUAGCUUUGAAAAUUGAAAGUAUUUUAAUGUGCUGUAUUUUUAAAAUUGAAAUCAAUGUAAAAUAGAUCUAUAUGUCAACUAUAUUAAGUCAACGUACAGUUUGCUUGAGUUAUAGAAACCAGCCUGUCAUCAAACGAUUCUAGCUUAGGACUUUAUAGAUGUAAAUGUAAAAUAUUUCCUUUCUUCUGGGUUUGGUAUAAGUGAUUUUAUUUAAGUCAAGUAAGGGGAUUUAACAGUGGACUAGAGGGCAUAAGCCACCUCUGGAUUAAUAAUUCAUUAAUAAAAUAUAUUUAACCCAAUAUCAGAGUGAAUUGAACAAUUAAUGCCCUUCUGUGAAUCAUUAUUUUACACUAACAUGGUCAAUGUUUUAGAUUAUUUUCCUAAUUAAGAGUACAUUGCACAACUAGUAGUAUAUUUUUUCUGCAUUAGAUAUUUUUAUAUAUUUAAAUGAAACUCUGUAUUUCUAACUUUUUAAUUGAAACUAAUAUUUUUUCUGCCUAUUGCAACAUUUUCUAUAAACACAUACCAGUAGAGGCCGCCACACACCUCAUUUAACCAAGACACAAGAGCCAUUAAAUACCUUGAAGACUUCAAAGGUAAGAUGAAAACUUCCCACGUAAGUUCUCUGCAAAUUCAAGACAGCAGAGAUAAAAAUUACAUAUCUCAAAUUUUAUUUCUUUGAGAAUCAAAAAUUAGACACAGAAUUCUUCUCAAUUUUCACAAAGAGAGAUUUUCCUCUUGAUUUUAAUUGAAGUGUUAAUGAGGUGCUAUCAAAUCAGGCACUUAUUUGCAUCUCCAAAUCCAUUAACAGUUACCUAAACCACAGCAGUAAGCGUCUUUUUUCCUUCUGCCUUCUUGGGGCACGCUUUACUUGAAAUUUUUUCUUCUUAGCUUCAGCAAGCCUUUCGUUUUGUUCUUAGCAAUCAAUUAUUUUAACUAACCAACUCUAUAUAACAUUUAUGAAGCCUUAUUAGACUGUAAAUAAUUUUUAGAUGCAAACAUUAUUGUAUGAUUUAAACAAACAGCCUUUCUUUACAACAAAAAUAGUUUUGUUUUGUCUAUUGUAAAUCCUUAUGCAACUGGGAUGGUGAUCAGCAUAUAAAGUAGUCCAGCUUUUCAAUUCCUUAUUAAAGCAAGUGAUGGCGUCUGAAAGAAGCACACUGUUUCCUUUUCAUAAAUAGGUUACUGCACAUAAUAAUCCUUUAUUAUCAUGUGGAGAUUGAAGUGGAUCCUGAUAAGUUACUUUUAAAGCAUUAAAUUGACUAAUAGUACAUUACCAGUAUUAACAAUUCAUGCUACAGGCUUUCAAUUAGAAAUUACUUAACUCCAAAUCAUUUUGAUUAAUAAUUAAUGGUGCAAAAUGGACUUUUUAAACAACAGAAGGUAAUUGUGCCCAUAUAUAAAAGUAAAGGAUACUCAAGGAAAAAAAAGAUUUUAACAAUCUGAAAUCCCUGGAUAUCUACUAACUAAUAUAUUCACUGUUUGCUUAAAAGUCAUAAUUGCCAUUUAUAUCCAUUAGCUCACAACUGAAAAUGGUGGGUCAGAGUGAUCUACACAUAUGUAUAGAAAUUUUCAUUUUGUAUAAAAGAAGCCAGAGUAGUGAAUGAGUCGGACAUUCUGGAAAGUGCUUCAUCUUUGGGUGACAUUUAUAUAUAAAUACAAGAGUUUUAAACAUUUUCUUAAAGAGGCUUUCCUUUGGUUUAAUGGUCAAUACAUUAUACAGAGGCAGAUAUUUGGGGAAGUAAUUGUGAAGGCAAAUCAGCAUAUAUCAUAUUAAGAUAGUUUUUAUAGGCUUUAACUGUGAUUUGAUCUGUUAAUGACAUGAUUCUACUUCACUGUUUGUUCUCAUUCUCCUGAAAAGUAAAACAUGCGUGUUAAUGACAAAUUAGUUUAUUAAUCUUAAUGAAAAGUAACUUACUUCUCAUUCAUUAUCAUGAUUUUUUGAAGAGGCCUCCUGGAAGAACUCAAACCCACAAAUUCUUUAGCUCAAUAAUUACUAUUCAUUUCAAUAUUUUCAUGUUUCUAGAUUUGUACUUUAUUUACAUUGAGUUAUAAAAUCAAGUCUUUCAGGUAUGAUACAAAUGGUUUUAUUUAAAAGCAUAAUAGCACACCUUGUGUUUUAAUUGUUACUGUCAAAUGCAAGUAUAAGCACUUCAAGAUUAAUUACUUUAUUGACAUUCCCACUGGUUGGAUUCUGAUUUUCUUUAUAGGCUCAAGCACUACCAAAGCUAUUUUACUUUAAGGAUUUUAUUUUUAACUCCUCCAGCUGGAUAUGUUAUUCCUUCCCUUACUAUUUCACAAGCAGAUCGUAAUGAGUGUGAGCCUAGCAAGUACUGGUCCAGGCAAGAUAGUGGCAUUCCUAGGACCCCACCUGGAACAGAACUAGAUGCCUGGCCCUACAAAAUGUCAAACAGCAAUUACUCUACAUUCUACUGUUUAAUUAGUUACUUUCAUGGCUUCUACAUAUUCCAGUGGGUAAAUUUGUACAAAAUUCUCAAAAAUACUACUCCUCAAACUUCACACCAUUGCCAAGAAUAUUUGGUAUGAACUUAGGUCAACCUUCGUGCCUUCUUUCCUCAGGCAUUUGGUGAGUAAGAAAAAGACCCUUUAAUGUCUUCUUUGUCCUCUGACUUUUAAGUUGACUGACUUUUUCUAAAUAAUUCCUGUCAUAAAGGGCUUAAUAUUUUAAAGAUUUUUAAAGUAUAUGUAACGAAUUAAAGAUAGUUUCUGUCAUUUCUCAAACUUUGAAAAUUCCUUAUGAUACUAUACUACACAUUCCAGAAACAUACUACAUUUGAAUGCUAGAGUUAACAAAGCCUUCCAGAUGGUUCUCUUACUCAAUUUGUUUCCUCAUUCAUUCAUUCAUUCAUUCACUCAUUUAAUAUAUCUUGAGUGCUCUCUUCCCUGGUGCCUGGAGCUGCUGUGUGCAGAGGGGCCACAGAUAUAUAAGACAGGAUCUCUAAUUGCCUCACCCCAUGCCUUCACCCCUACUCCCACUGAUACUAAAUCCCCCUCCCUUCACAGACCUCCCAAAUUUGGUAAGGAGCAUAGUACAAAAUAGAAGAGAGCUUUACCUGAAUGAAAAUCACUCCCAGGUAGGCAGUGGGGACAAGAAUCCAGUGCAGAAGGUUGAGUUUUAAAAUUCUCUGGAGUAAAAUAUUGAAUGAAUAAACCAUAAAUAGACUGGUUACCAUGUAAGUGCUAUUAACAUAUCUUUGGAAUUACAUAGAUAAAAUGGGAAAAUCCCACUAAAAUAAACUUAAAUCACAGCAGAAUUAAGUCCAAUUAUGGCCUGAUGAUAGCUAUAUAUUUGUGCUAUCUACAUCUACUUUGUAAAGUUGAAUACCAGAAUUGUAAAUAUAAAAACCACUAAUAUACUUCAAGUUUUGGGAUAUUCAUGUUUUAGAGGCAACAUUUACUAUCUAUUUUAGUGGCGUAAAAGGUAAUAUUUUGGCUCACAUGCCUUUACCUAUACAAUAAGAGACUUUAGUGUGUGAGAGAGAUCAAAGAACUAUGUUUAAGCCUACUUUGCUCCUCACAAUGGUCGUGGAAAAAGUGCUGUGUAAAUUGAAGUUUUAAAAGAAUCAAAUUCUAUUUUAAGUGCAUUAAGGGAGCUACCAUUUAGAUAAAAUUUGGGAAUCUCAUUAAGAGGCAGAAAACUAUUUUAUAAUGCAAAUAACCAUUCUAUGUGUUUUGUAUAUUUGGAUUUUCAAUAUCAAUUUUGCUUAAAAACAAGUUCACAUGCAUAAUAAGAGUGUGUUUUGUCAGCAUUGCUUGUACUAUUCAUUUCUUGGUUGCUAAGGGCUUAUACUUAAAGUCUGCUGCAGUUUUAUGUGAAUUGAGCUAUCUAUGAUUAUGAUAGCACAAUAGCAUUCCUGAACGUCUGGACUAGCAAGCCCAUUUCAAUACAAUUGAACACAGGACUCUUGCUCAACAGCAUCUCCCCUCCCAAGACCUUGUUUCCUUAGAGGGUAGACUGACUCCUGUAUUCACAUCCUAUAAAGUGCUUAGGAAUACAGGUUUUAUUAAAAAAAUACAUAUGUUACUAUGUAAACAUAUUGAAUUGCAUGUGUGUUGGAAAUUUUUAGCAGUAUUUUAGCUUGAAAGUAUGUGUACAAAUUCUGUUAGCUUAGUUGCAAAUAAUUGUUCUCAAGUUGUUGGAAUAAAUGGCAAAUGAAACAAUUUAUUAUGUAAAUAAAUUCUUGUGCCAAAUAGUGACAUUGUUUAAGAAAAUAAAUGACAUAUUUUGGGCUGUUAAUAGGCAAAUGAAAUACUGAAAAUGUGAUCAAAUUAUAUUGUAUUUUAUUGGAUAAACUGUUUAGUUAUUUUAUGCUGUAGUUAGCUUUCAGUUAAUAAAUAAAUAUUCACU